Molecule: long non-coding RNA, 1017 nt
Organism: Populus euphratica (Euphrates poplar)
Lineage: Eukaryota; Viridiplantae; Streptophyta; Magnoliopsida; Malpighiales; Salicaceae
Exons: 2
Source: RefSeq, a predicted model, not a curated record
CUCCUGCUUUAUAGUUGCCUCGUCCCUUGGAUUCGAGAUUUCCUUGAAAAAAUUGAUUGUUUUGACGAUUGCGUCAUCUCAUUUUGUUUGGCACGUUUACCCUCUCUCGCUCUGAAAUUUACAGUUGGUAAACGGUUAGCAUGAGUUUUCUGCAUCUUGUAUUUGAAAAGUGAUCUGUUGUUUUUUUAAAGUACAAGGUUUUUUUUGUGACUGGAAAACUCAUCGCCCUUGCAGUACUUUCAACUUUUCUGUGAAUUCUGUACGUGAAAGCAUCUCUUCUUUUAGAGUUGAAAGAAACUUGAAUUCGGGACAACAUGUUCUGAAAAAGCUCUUGAAAAAUAGAUGUGCGAACAGAGAAUGGAGGGUUUCAGUCGGUUUAAAAUAUUCUGGGUCAACCCUGUUCUUUUUAUUGAGAAAAGCUUCUAAAUUCUAUGUGACUGGAAUAACUGGACGUCCUGUGGUUUUUCCUUUUCAAAAGUGGAAGGCUGCUCUCUUGAUGCUUUUGCACUCAAUUGAUAUGGUUGAACUGGUGCCUCAUCAUGGAUUACAUUUGGUAUUUUUUGAAUACCAAUUUGAGCUUGGAAAAUGAUCUCAUGUGAACUAUUUGUUCAGUCCCUGCUGAACUGUUUUUGCGCAAUGCAGUCCCGUAAAAGAUUGAGCCUUGUUUCGAUGGUUGAAAAGUCAAGUUUUUUGCAUUGUUUGUAGACCCAGAGGAUUAUUGGAUGCCCCUGCAGCAGUUCCGCUGGAAUUAUAUUUUGGUCUCUGCUUGUCUCGGACUUUGAUUUGGUGGCUUGCGAGAAAAAUUAUGAUUCAGUUUCUGCUUCUCCUCUUUGCAUGCAUAAAACCAGAACUUUUUAAUUGGGAUGGUAUUGGAUGAUUUUCAACAACUGAUGUAGACGCAAGCAAGCACUUGAGAUUUCUGUAACAAAAUUCUCCUGCUCUAUAGUUGCCUUGUCCCUGGGAUUCGAGAUUUCCUUGAAAAAAUUGGUUGUUUUGACGACUGUGUCAUCACAUUUU